AUUUGUCCGAACACUUCCAUUUCAGAAAUUGUGAUGUGCCUACUUCAUGAGUAAUACUUGUAGUUGGAAAAUGCAGUUGUAGAUGGAGGCUUGUUAAAAAAAGUAACACAAACCGGCUAAUAACCGGCAUAUUGAGGAGUAAACCAAGGAAACCGUGAAAGGACUACGUACUUCUUCUUCCUCCGGCGAAAACCCUCAAAUUGGGAGAUUUAAUUUAAUUAAAUCAUCGAAGAAGAUGGGGAGAGCAUUGUACAGCGUAGGAUUCUGGAUCCGGGAAACAGGUCAAGCACUUGAUCGGCUCGGCUGUCGCCUCCAAGGCAAAAAUCACUUCCGAGAACAGCUUAAGUAGCACAUAAACUGCAAAACCCAGAGCAGAUGCAGCAGCAACCGUAAAUACAGCUACUUGUACGGAGAAUGAUGAGGCGAAAGGCUGGAGAACAAGUGAGUUCCAGGUUAUGUGCCACAAGGUGGAGUAAACAGAGCCCACGAUUGCACCCACCACCACUUGACUGGCGGUGUGAAGCUUCUGGGAAACCCUCAACCAUACAAAGUAAGAAGCCAAAGCAAGGAUGAGAGAAAGAGAGAUGGGAAAGGGUGAGAGAGAGAGAGUGUUACCAGAGAAGAGAGAGAUGAAAGAAAUGGACU
Long non-coding RNA from Brassica napus (rape), 645 nucleotides. RefSeq lists it as uncharacterized. The record is from RefSeq and is a predicted model, not a curated record. NCBI's taxonomy places the organism in Eukaryota, Viridiplantae, Streptophyta, Magnoliopsida, Brassicales, Brassicaceae. The transcript is spliced from 2 exons.